CACCGCGGUUAUACGAGAGGCCCAAGUUGAUUAAAAACGGCGUAAGGAGUGGUUAAGUGUAAGUUAACUAAAGUUAAACAACUUCAUAGCUGUUAUACGCAAUCGAAGUAAUGAAAACCUUCUACGAAAGUGACUUUAAACCUCUGACCCCACUAAAGCUGUGAAA
Molecule: ribosomal RNA, 166 nt
Filed under: Urocampus nanus (barbed pipefish)
Lineage: Eukaryota; Metazoa; Chordata; Actinopteri; Syngnathiformes; Syngnathidae
Description: partial 12S rRNA
Source: RNAcentral